AGUGAACGCUGGCGGUAGGCCUAACACAUGCAAGUCGAACGGCAGCACAGUAAGAGCUUGCUCUUACGGGUGGCGAGUGGCGGACGGGUGAGGAAUACAUCGGAAUCUACUUUUUCGUGGGGGAUAACGUAGGGAAACUUACGCUAAUACCGCAUACGACCUACGGGUGAAAGCAGGGGAUCUUCGGACCUUGCGCGAUUGAAUGAGCCGAUGUCGGAUUAGCUAGUUGGCGGGGUAAAGGCCCACCAAGGCGACGAUCCGUAGCUGGUCUGAGAGGAUGAUCAGCCACACUGGAACUGAGAAACGGUCAAGACUCCUACGGGAGGCAGCAGUGGGGAAUAUUGGACAAUGGGCGCAAGCCUGAUCCAGCCAUACCGCGUGGGUGAAGAAGGCCUUCGGGUUGUAAAGCCCUUUUGUUGGGAAAGAAAAGCAGCAGGUUAAUACCCCGCUGUUCUGACGGUACCCAAAGAAUAAGCACCGGCUAACUUCGUG
Molecule: ribosomal RNA, 492 nt
Filed under: uncultured bacterium
Lineage: Bacteria
Description: partial 16S ribosomal RNA
Rfam family: Bacterial small subunit ribosomal RNA
Source: RNAcentral